GGAUGAACGCUGGCGGCGUGCCUAAUACAUGCAAGUCGAGCGAACGGACGAGAAGCUUGCUUCUCUGAUGUUAGCGGCGGACGGGUGAGUAACACGUGGAUAACCUACCUAUAAGACUGGGAUAACUUCGGGAAACCGGAGCUAAUACCGGAUAAUAUUUUGAACCGCAUGGUUCAAAAGUGAAAGACGGUCUUGCUGUCACUUAUAGAUGGAUCCGCGCUGCAUUAGCUAGUUGGUAAGGUAACGGCUUACCAAGGCAACGAUGCAUAGCCGACCUGAGAGGGUGAUCGGCCACACUGGAACUGAGACACGGUCCAGACUCCUACGGGAGGCAGCAGUAGGGAAUCUUCCGCAAUGGGCGAAAGCCUGACGGAGCAACGCCGCGUGAGUGAUGAAGGUCUUCGGAUCGUAAAACUCUGUUAUUAGGGAAGAACAUAUGUGUAAGUAACUGUGCACAUCUUGACGAUACCUAAUCAGAAAGCCACGGCUAACUACGUG
This 498-nucleotide ribosomal RNA is filed under the name uncultured bacterium. Its description in RNAcentral is "partial 16S ribosomal RNA". It matches the Rfam family "Bacterial small subunit ribosomal RNA", at positions 27 to 507 of the family's 1533-position model. The record is from RNAcentral.